UCUGGUAAGCUUAUGCUCUCCUCUCAAGACGCAUUAAAGCUUUCCUGCAGAAGGAUCCGAGUGUCCCGUGUAUGAUUUCUUGCUGGCGAGGAAUACAGAGCGGGCGCGGGACAUAUGGUGCUGAAACCCGGGAACAUGUGAACAUUUCCAGCACCUCGGAGACCCCUCUAACGAGGCGGAUUCAGAACUGCAGGGUGGUAAAUUCGGAGAGGUAUGAUUUUUCUGGACUUUGGCUUGGGAAUGUUGCUAUUGUGGGAGGUUAAUAUAGAGGCUUCUAUGCUUUUACUAGGAGCUAUUUUGACUUUUCUCACUGUUGUAGCAAUCUUAAAGAAGUCCAGAAUUACAUAUCAGAAACCGAAUGUGGUGAGAGAUGGGGCGCGCCUAACAAUAAAAUAUAAGAAAAAAGGACCUCCCGGGAUGUCUAGUGACAAGGGAGUGAAUAAUUUGUUAAGAGAAACAGCAAUAAAUAAGAAAAAAGGACCUCCUGGAAUGUCUACUGACAAGGGAGUGAAUAAUUUGUUAGAUGAUUCUGUAAAUAAGUUUAAAGCUUUAAAUCUUGAUAGCUCUAAUGACUCUAAAAGCUCAAGAGAUAAAGUUUUAGAGGAAACAGCUCAGCUAGGUGAAAAAGAAACAAAAAAGGAGGGAGAGAAAAUAGGAGAUAACCGGUCACACCCCGGUAAAUUUAAGAGAAAUAAAGACUUAAAACCUAGCCUCUUCCCUGCAACGAAACUGGAAGCCUUGGAGCUGAACAGCUCAGACUCUGAGAUUUUAGACUCUAGCAAGGAAGCAGAGCUAGAGAAAGAAGCAGCACGAUACCACCCCGAUAGAUAUCGGCUGCCAAAAAUGCCAGCGGGUGUGCUUCCAUCAGCACCCCCACUAUUUGGUACCGACUCCUUUUUACCAUCAAAGGAGCGGAAAAAAUUACAGAUGGCUUUCCCAGUCUUUGAUAGGGGAAAAGGCCGUGCAUGUUAUUCAACACUGCUUGGAGGCCUGGGAUGCCUGGAAAAAGCCUCAUAUCCUAAAGUUGCUCAAGUAAUUUAUGUAUACUUGUUUUAAAAUGUUCUAUUUCCUGGUACGGCCAUUUUGUAGCUGGUCACAUGACUGACGGUAGCCAUUUUACUAAAGUUAAAAAAAAAAAAGGAUAC
Molecule: long non-coding RNA, 1145 nt
Filed under: Cricetulus griseus (Chinese hamster)
Lineage: Eukaryota; Metazoa; Chordata; Mammalia; Rodentia; Cricetidae
Description: lncRNA (ENSCGRG00015030545.1)
Source: RNAcentral